Molecule: ribosomal RNA, 254 nt
Filed under: uncultured bacterium
Lineage: Bacteria
Description: partial 16S ribosomal RNA
Rfam family: Bacterial small subunit ribosomal RNA
Source: RNAcentral
UACGGGGGGAGCAAGCGUUGUUCGGAUUUACUGGGCGUAAAGGGCGCGUAGGCGGUCGUGACAAGUCACUUGUGAAAUCUCCGGGCUUAACUCGGAACGGUCAAGUGAUACUGUCGGACUAGAGUACAGAAGGGGCAACUGGAAUUCUCGGUGUAGCGGUGAAAUGCGUAGAUAUCGAGAGGAACACCUGCGGCGAAGGCGGGUUGCUGGGCCGAUACUGACGCUGAGGAGCGAAAGCGUGGGUAGCAAACAGG